GAAAAAUUUAUUUUAAAAAAUGUUAAAUUUUAUUUGAAAUGUAACUAUUAUAUUAAGGCUGAAGAAAACGAUAGAAGAGGCCAUGUCGCAUUCUUAUAACAAAUCGAGAUAUCUUCAUAUGCAAAAUCAUCCCUGUUCAAAGGUAUGAGAUAAACCGAGCAUGUGUAUUUCUUUCAUUCACUUUUUUUCUUUCAAUUGUACCAAUUUAAAAUAUCGCUGAAAGAUUAACGCAAAAACGUUGUGCUUAAAAAAGAAGGUGGUAAUAAAACGUUCAAGUGCCAUAAAGGUGGUCGCGCAAUACAUUGGAGGUAUUUCAUUUCCGAUCCAAAAGGAAUAUGUUGCUUUCCGAAUAAAAGAUCGCCGAGAAAUAAAUUUUUCGCUAUCGUUUAUGUCUGUCAUACAUUUUUCCUGCGAACCAAUACAUUGCGGGACCUCACUCGCAGGAACGCCAGAGCUGUUUUUAUUUGGUAUUGUAUUUCUCUUACUGUAUUAAACACGCCUAGCUUUAUUUAACAAGAUGAUACAGGGUAGCUAAAAUCUGUUAAGCAUGUAAGCUCUGCGAUAUCAUUAUAGACUAAUGUACAUCUCAAGAUUAUCUGCCUACAGGAUUCUAUGCACGAUGUAGGAAUACCAAGCACAGUAAUGGCUUCCCUUAAUAAAUCAUCUGUCCCAAGGAAUGAAAUUUUGUUUUCGUUUAAAUACAAGUAUUUCUUUUAAUUUUUCCAAUUUAAAUA
Molecule: long non-coding RNA, 734 nt
Organism: Trachymyrmex septentrionalis
Lineage: Eukaryota; Metazoa; Arthropoda; Insecta; Hymenoptera; Formicidae
Exons: 3
Source: RefSeq, a predicted model, not a curated record